UACUUGACAAUUCACCAACAAAGAAAAAGAAAAAAAAAAAACAGAGAGAGAGACAAAAAGCUAGAAUAAUGGAAGGACGUUCGAAAUCUAGCAUAAAAUUAGAGCUACUACGUAACUUCAUGCAUGAUGAUCACACCCAUCAGUUUAGGUUGAUCGAUCACCUCUUAUUUUGCAACAUUAUUUUUAAGAUAGUUAACGAAUGCACUAAUGUAGUGAUCAUGUUGCAGCUUGUGAUCUCCAAUAACUGCAGCAGCUUUCCUUGCAUUGCUUCGUAGCUGCUCUCCUUCUUCUUCCACCAUUGCUAGCCUCAGUGAUUUUGCUAUUUCCCCUCUACUAAACGACCCGUCUUCGUUUCGCUUCACUUCGGCAGCCAGACCCUUCUCUACCAGAAGCCUUGCAUUCAAAGGCUGAUCAUACAUGAAGGGUAACACAACAAGGCCAUGCCCAAAUUGCAGAGUCUCAAUCACCGAACCCCAUCCAGAAUGAAACAAAGAGCCCCCAAUUGAUGGGUGCCCCAAAAUUUCCAUUUGGGGCACCCAUCCGAAGCAAACAAGCCCUUUCUCUGAUGUUCUGUCAGUAAAACCUAAAGGCAAAAAAUCAUCCACUUCAUCACUCUCAGUUGAAUUAG
RNAcentral lists this long non-coding RNA (628 nucleotides) under Fragaria vesca (wild strawberry). RNAcentral describes it as "long non-coding RNA (FVES_LNC003554)". Lineage: Eukaryota; Viridiplantae; Streptophyta; Magnoliopsida; Rosales; Rosaceae. The record is from RNAcentral.